CCUACGGGGAGCAGCAGUGGGGGAUAUUGCACAAUGGGGGAAACCCUGAUGCAGCGACGCCGCGUGGGUGAAGAAGCGCCUCGGCGCGUAAAGCCCUGUCAGCAGGGAAGAAAAUGACGGUACCUGAAGAAGAAGCCCCGGCUAACUACGUGCCAGCAGCCGCGGUAAUACGUAGGGGGCAAGCGCUAUCCGGAUGUACUGGGUGCAAAGGGGGCGCAGGCGGCGAUGCGAGCCAGGAGGGAAAGCCCGGGGGCCAACCCCGGGACAUCGCGUGGAACUGCGUGGCUAGAGUGCAGGAGGGGCAGGCGGAAUUCCUGGGGUAGCGGUGAAAUGCGUAGAUAUCAGGAGGAACACCGGAGGCGAAGGCGGCCUGCUGGACUGCAACUGACGUUGAGGCCCGAAAGCGUGGGGAGCAAACAGGAUUAGAUACCCUAGUAGUC
Molecule: ribosomal RNA, 440 nt
Filed under: uncultured bacterium
Lineage: Bacteria
Description: partial 16S ribosomal RNA
Rfam family: Bacterial small subunit ribosomal RNA
Source: RNAcentral